AAACCCCAUAGCCAACGCAUGAUUCUACUGGGUAUCACAUGUGUUCUUGAUUCGAACCCAUUGCCAUGUUGUUAGUAUUUGCAUUAGAGUGUUCAUUUAGAGUCUCUCCUCUGUCAUGUCCCCUCAACUGCUGUAGUCAGGCAGUUGCUUUUCCUUGGUGUUUCCACUCCCACAGUUUGUCCUCUGCUUAUGGAUAGUGUUUUUUCUCCUAGAUCCCUGCAGAUUGUUCAGGGACAUUACACCGCCACUAAUGGAGAAGUCCAUUACGUUCGAUUAUACCACAGUGUAUUAGUCUCUGUGUACAAUGUUCUCCUGGUUCUGCUCCUCUCGCUCUGCAUCACUUCCUGGAAGUCGGUCCAGUCUCCAUGGAAUUCCUCCACUUUAUUAUUCCUUUUAGCACAAUAGUAUUCCAUCACCAACAUAUACCACAAUUUGUUCAGCCAUUCCCUAAUUGAAGGACAUCCCCUCGUUUUCCAAUUUUUGGCCACCACAAAGAGUGUAGCUAUGAAUAUUCUUGUACAUGUCUUUUUCUCCAUUAUCUCUUUGGGGUACAGACCCAGCAGUGCUAUGGCUGGAUCAAAGGGUAGACAUUCUUUUGUCGCCCUUUGGGCAUAGUUCCAAAUUGCCCUCCAGAAUGGUUGGAUCAGUUCACAACUCCACCAGCAAUGAAUUAGUGUCCCUACUUUGCCACAUCCCCUCCAGCAUUCAUUACUUUCCUUUGCUGUUAUGUUAGCCAAUCUGCUAGGUGUGAGGUGAUACCUCAGAGUUGUUUUGAUUUGCAUCUCUCUGAUUAUAAGAGAUUUAGAACACUUCUUCAUGUGCUUAUUAAUAGUUUUGAUUCUUUAUCUGGAAACUGCCUGUUCAUGUCCCUUGCCCAUUUAUCAAUUGGAGAAUGGCUUGAUUUUUUUGAUUUGCAUCUCUCUGAUUAUAAGAGAUUUAGAACACUUCUUCAUGUGCUUAUUAAUAGUUUUGAUUUCUUUGGCUGAGAACUGCCUGUUCAUGUCCCUUGCCCAUUUGUCAAUUGGAGAAUGGCUUGAUUUUUUGUACAAUUGAUUUAGCUCUUUAUAAAUUUGAGUAAUUAAACCUUUGUCAGAGGUUUCUAUGAAGAUUUUUUCCCAAUUUGUUGUUUCCCUUCUGAUUUUAGUUACAUUGGUUUUGUUUGUACAAAAGCUUUUUAGUUUGAUGUAGUCAAAAUUAUUUAUUUUACAUUUUGUGAUUCUUUCUAUAUCUUGCUUGGUUUUAAAGCCUUUCCCCUCCCAAAGGUCUGACAUGUAUACUAUUCUGUGUUUACCCAAUUUAUUUAUGGUUUCCUUCUUUAUGUUUAAGUCAUUCACCCAUUUUGAAUUUAUCUUGGUGUAGGGUGUGAGGUGUUGAUCAAUUCCUAAUCUCUCCCACACUGUCUUCCAAUUUUCCCAGCAGUUUUUAUCGAAUAGUAGAUUUUUGUCCCAAAAGCUGGGAUCUUUGGGUUUAUCGUAUACUGUCUUGCUGAGGUCUCUUGCCCCCAGUCUAUUCCACUGAUCCUCCUUUCUGUCUCUUAGCCAGUACCCAAUUUGUUUGAUGACUGCUGCUUUAUAUAUAGUUUUAGGUCAGGGACUGCAAGGCCCCCAUCGUAUGUGUUUUUUUUCAUUAUUUCCCUGGAUAUCCUUGAUCUUUUGUUCUUCCAAAUGAACUUUGUUAUGGUUUUUUCUAAAUCAGUGAAGAAGUAUUUUGGUAGUUCAAUGGGUAUGGCACUAAAUAGAUAAAUAAGUUUGGGUAGGAUGGUCAUUUUUAUUAUAUUGGCUCGUCCUAUCCAUGAGCAGUUAAUGUUUUUCCAUUUGUUCAGGUCUAGUUUUAGUUGUGUGGCAAGUGUUUUGUAGUUGUGUUCAUAUAGUUCCUGUGUUUGUCUUGGGAGAUAGAUUCCUAGGUAUUUUAUUUUGUCUAAGGUGAUUUUGAAUGGGAUUUCUCUUUCUAGUUCUUGCUGCUGAGCUGUGUUGGAGAUAUAUAGAAAAGCUGAUGAUUUAUGUGGGUUUAUUUUGUAUCCUGCAACUUUGCUAAAGUUGUUGAUUAUUUCAAU
Molecule: long non-coding RNA, 2053 nt
Organism: Monodelphis domestica (gray short-tailed opossum)
Lineage: Eukaryota; Metazoa; Chordata; Mammalia; Didelphimorphia; Didelphidae
Source: Ensembl